RNAcentral lists this long non-coding RNA (1134 nucleotides) under Glycine max (soybean). RNAcentral describes it as "long non-coding RNA (GMAX_LNC004714)". The record is from RNAcentral. Lineage: Eukaryota; Viridiplantae; Streptophyta; Magnoliopsida; Fabales; Fabaceae.
CUCAAAUAAAAAUUAAUAAUAAGAACAAGAGACAAGCACAGGCUCAACAUAACUUAGACUCUUAAGAGAAUUAUUAUUAUUAUCUCCCAGGAAGUGAGGAACAGUAAAUAGUAGUACUAAAUAGAAACCCACAAGUGGGUCCCAUUCAUUUGCCGAAAGAGACGUAGAGUAAAUCUGUGUCAGUUGAAUGUGUGUCCACAUCGUCGCAAUUGAGGACGAUUGCUCGCCAAACUUACAAAUCCAUGAAAAUCUCAGAAAUUUUUGGGCAAUUAAUUAGAAGAAGAUGCGAGCGAAGAGAAAUAAAUAUGAAAAUUUUAUACACCAACUAUCAUACAUAAAGACAUCAAAGUCUCCGCAAAUAUUCCAAUACAUCUUCAAGAGAAGAAACUGCUAUAUGCAUGUGGCCAUCCUUUUUUCUUUUUCUGUACGGUAUCAAAGAAUUCAACAACAAAACCAAAAAAACGCAAGAGAAACAUCCUAAUUCCUAAGUUAAAACGCCCCGCAGAGACUAGCACAUGAUUGAUUUAUUUUUCUGUAUGGUAGGAUCAGUCGUCGGAGUUGUAGCCACUUGGAAUGGGUGAGGUAGAAGAAGGGGAGGUACGAGUAGUAGUGUGAGAAGUAGCAUCUCCAGUAGUAGUAGAGGUGGUCAAAGACGCAAAUGCCCUUGCAGACUUGAAGAGAGUUUUGAAAACCCUAAUCUUGACCAGCCCCCUCGGGGGUGGGAGCUUUCGUGGGGGCGUUUUAGCUCUGCUGUUAGUUCUGGUAACGGUGCGCUCUAAAUGAGGCAUCUCAACUUUUUUGCUUGAGAGAGAGAGGGAGGGUGUGAAUUUAAGAGGAGACAGCACGCUACAGGAGUCCCAAUAACUUGCCCUAGAAGAUUCAUUUGAGAACGGAUGGUUAUAGACGAUGCUGCCCCUCUCCUCAUGUGUUCUUGCAAAGGAAUCGCAGACUCAAACACAUUACUCUAGUUUGGAUUGGAUACGUCCAAAUAGUAUUUUAGUUUCUGCAUUGCACAAAAUAAAUAUUGAGUAUAUGUUAACAGAAGUGUUUGACUUUGUGUUGUUACAAUUUUAUUGUAUUUGUGAUGUGAUUUUUUGUUAUUACAUAAUAGGCUCUACAAGAAUUUACUAAAAU